This is a non-coding RNA of Triticum aestivum (bread wheat), 129 nucleotides long. NCBI's taxonomy places the organism in Eukaryota, Viridiplantae, Streptophyta, Magnoliopsida, Poales, Poaceae. The record is from Rfam.
UACAUACUCCCUCCGUCCCAAAAUGCUUGUCUUAAAUUCGUCUAGAUGCGAUGUAUCUAAUACUAAAAUAAGACUUGAUACAUCCGUAUUUAGACAAAUCUAAGAAUUUUGGGACGGAGGGAGUAUAUA